This 266-nucleotide long non-coding RNA is filed under the name Olea europaea (common olive). RNAcentral's name for it is "long non-coding RNA (OEUR_LNC008243)". Lineage: Eukaryota; Viridiplantae; Streptophyta; Magnoliopsida; Lamiales; Oleaceae. The record is from RNAcentral.
GUGAAUUUACUUGGCAUAAAAUGAUUCUACAAGGACACAAUUGGGACCCAACGACAAUCAAAAGGACGUCACUAUUAAAUAAAUAAAAAAUAAGCUUCACCACUAAUAGUCGCUUUUUGUGAGCAAUGCUCAAAUAUUAUUCCCCAAAUUCUAUCAAUGCAAAACCACCAACCUUUGGGUUCGAAGGAAAAGAACCAAGUUCGGCGAAGCUGGCCAAACAGAGUCUUAUAAUCGAACCUAAACACUUGAAACGGAUUGGAUCUUCG